Molecule: ribosomal RNA, 433 nt
Filed under: uncultured bacterium
Lineage: Bacteria
Description: partial 16S ribosomal RNA
Rfam family: Bacterial small subunit ribosomal RNA (bases 45-433)
Source: RNAcentral
GGGGGGGGGGGGGGGGGGGGGGGGGGGGGGGGGGGCGGGGGGGGGCGGCGGGGCGGGCGGCGGGGGGGUGAGUAACGCGUGGGAAGGUGCCCUUCUCUACGGAAUAGCCCUGGGAAACUGGGAGUAAUACCGUAUACGCCCUAUUGGGGAAAGAUUUAUCGGAGAAGGAUCAGCCCGCGUUGGAUUAGGUAGUUGGUGGGGUAAUGGCCUACCAAGCCGACGAUCCAUAGCUGGUUUGAGAGGAUGAUCAGCCACACUGGGACUGAGACACGGCCCAGACUCCUACGGGAGGCAGCAGUGGGGAAUCUUAGACAAUGGGGGCAACCCUGAUCUAGCCAUGCCGCGUGAGUGAUGAAGGCCUUAGGGUUGUAAAGCUCUUUCAGCUGGGAAGAUAAUGACGGUACCAGCAGAAGAAGCCCCGGCUAACUCCGUG